UUUAUUGGAGAGUUUGAUCCUGGCUCAGGAUGAACGCUGGCGGCGUGCCUAAUACAUGCAAGUCGAGCGAACGGAUUAAGAGCUUGCUCUUAAGAAGUUAGCGGCGGACGGGUGAGUAACACGUGGGUAACCUGCCCAUAAGACUGGGAUAACUCCGGGAAACCGGGGCUAAUACCGGAUAACAUCUAGCACCGCAUGGUGCAAAAUUGAAAGGCGGCUUCGGCUGUCACUUAUGGAUGGACCCGCGUCGCAUUAGCUAGUUGGUGAGGUAACGGCUCACCAAGGCGACGAUGCGUAGCCGACCUGAGAGGGUGAUCGGCCACACUGGGACUGAGACACGGCCCAGACUCCUACGGGAGGCAGCAGUAGGGAAUCUUCCGCAAUGGACGAAAGUCUGACGGAGCAACGCCGCGUGAGCGAUGAAGGCCUUCGGGUCGUAAAGCUCUGUUGUUAGGGAAGAACAAGUAUGAGUUGAAUAAGCUCAUGCCUUGACGGUACCUAACCAGAAAGCCACGGCUAACUACGUGCCAGCAGCCGCGGUAAUACGUAGGUGGCAAGCGUUAUCCGGAAUUAUUGGGCGUAAAGCGCGCGCAG
This 594-nucleotide ribosomal RNA is filed under the name Bacillus cytotoxicus. RNAcentral describes it as "bacterial SSU rRNA". It matches the Rfam family "Bacterial small subunit ribosomal RNA", at positions 1 to 574 of the family's 1533-position model. The record is from RNAcentral. Lineage: Bacteria; Bacillati; Bacillota; Bacilli; Caryophanales; Bacillaceae.